Molecule: unclassified non-coding RNA, 1333 nt
Filed under: Hevea brasiliensis (rubber tree)
Lineage: Eukaryota; Viridiplantae; Streptophyta; Magnoliopsida; Malpighiales; Euphorbiaceae
Source: RNAcentral
GUACUUUACCUGAAGUCUUGAAGCAUUAUACAUUGGAAUGGUAAAAGACAUGCUAACUGGUCCAGCUUCCUUAGUGAUAUUUCCAUGUGUCUCUUGUGAAAGUGUCAGCUUUGCACAUAGGACAUGGUCAGAUCCACCAACAAUCUUCUUCAAGCCCCACACAAGUCUCUUACUUGACUCCUUAAAGUCAGCAGUGUUUCCAACUGCGCCAGGCUCCAACUCAAAACUAACCCUGCUAGUAUAUGUUGGCAGUGGCAUCUCUAUAAGUAUAGUAUUUGCAGUGACACUGGAGGAGAAUUCAGCAUGCACUUUAAUAAAAACUUCAGCCUUCUUGGAUCCCACUUCUUCAAUUAAUGCAUUAAUUCGGAAUGGAGGUCUAAACUCUUGAGUCAUUCGGUAGUUCAUGACAGAAAAUUCACCAUCUGGCGCUACCAGAGCCAAAGUCCUGUCAAUGUCAAAACUAUCAAGAUGUACUGAUUCAUGGAAAUUACAAUUGUCCAGAAUCAAUGUCCCUGCUCCAGAUGAACUACCGUAGUCAUGGAUUGACCUUCCACCUCUUCCUAUACUUAGUUCUUCAUUUAAAGCAAGCCGAAUCUCAGGGUUGCCAGUAAGGUAACUCUUCAUUUGGAUCGUGCCAUCAAUCUCAGAAGUAAGUAUGUAUCCACUAGCGCUGAAUGUGACACUUAUUUUCUCGAUUACAUCUACAAAAAUUUCCUCUCUAUUCCUGCCACGAGGUUCAUUGGCUAAAACAGAUUUGGUUACAGCUGUUGCAGGCAUUCUUUUGGCCCCUUGCACAAAGAUGGAAGCAGGACCAAGGCUGGGCAAACAUGCAGCAUCAAUCAUGAUUGGCUCAUUAAAUACAAAGGAUUUCAGAACCUCAGUUGAUGUUGUUUGAACAUAACCAAAAUCAAUCAUUUCAUCCAGCAGCUCAUACACGAGCACAAAAUUUUUGCGCAGUGACUCUUCAUUGAGAACACCAAGGUAAUCUUUGAUUACACGUGCAUUUCUUUGAAGAAAUUCCAGAACAAGUGAAGGUGAGAUAUUAACUCUUGUUGUUGCAACAAAUAGCAACCCAGCAACCUUCACAUGAAAGUAGUUCACACCAUCCACAUUAAAGACAGGUGGAGCUUCCCCUUCUUCAUCCUCUUUCCAAAACUUAACUUUGCGGAAAAAUAUUUCAGCAGUUGCUUUGGGCACUUCACCACGAUAGUCACGGAAGACGAUAUCGCCUCUCUGAGAGAGCACGAACAACUGCGAGAUCAUGGUUUCAAAUCUUCGAUUAUCACUUUCCUUUGUGCUCUCAUUUUAAUUUAGGGGGGUGAGCUUUUAGGUC